RNAcentral lists this ribosomal RNA (2903 nucleotides) under Escherichia coli. Its description in RNAcentral is "23S ribosomal RNA". It matches the Rfam family "Bacterial large subunit ribosomal RNA". Lineage: Bacteria; Pseudomonadati; Pseudomonadota; Gammaproteobacteria; Enterobacterales; Enterobacteriaceae. The record is from RNAcentral.
GGUUAAGCGACUAAGCGUACACGGUGGAUGCCCUGGCAGUCAGAGGCGAUGAAGGACGUGCUAAUCUGCGAUAAGCGUCGGUAAGGUGAUAUGAACCGUUAUAACCGGCGAUUUCCGAAUGGGGAAACCCAGUGUGAUUCGUCACACUAUCAUUAACUGAAUCCAUAGGUUAAUGAGGCGAACCGGGGGAACUGAAACAUCUAAGUACCCCGAGGAAAAGAAAUCAACCGAGAUUCCCCCAGUAGCGGCGAGCGAACGGGGAGCAGCCCAGAGCCUGAAUCAGUGUGUGUGUUAGUGGAAGCGUCUGGAAAGGCGCGCGAUACAGGGUGACAGCCCCGUACACAAAAAUGCACAUACUGUGAGCUCGAUGAGUAGGGCGGGACACGUGGUAUCCUGUCUGAAUAUGGGGGGACCAUCCUCCAAGGCUAAAUACUCCUGACUGACCGAUAGUGAACCAGUACCGUGAGGGAAAGGCGAAAAGAACCCCGGCGAGGGGAGUGAAAAAGAACCUGAAACCGUGUACGUACAAGCAGUGGGAGCACGCUUAGGCGUGUGACUGCGUACCUUUUGUAUAAUGGGUCAGCGACUUAUAUUCUGUAGCAAGGUUAACCGAAUAGGGGAGCCGAAGGGAAACCGAGUCUUAACUGGGCGUUAAGUUGCAGGGUAUAGACCCGAAACCCGGUGAUCUAGCCAUGGGCAGGUUGAAGGUUGGGUAACACUAACUGGAGGACCGAACCGACUAAUGUUGAAAAAUUAGCGGAUGACUUGUGGCUGGGGGUGAAAGGCCAAUCAAACCGGGAGAUAGCUGGUUCUCCCCGAAAGCUAUUUAGGUAGCGCCUCGUGAAUUCAUCUCCGGGGGUAGAGCACUGUUUCGGCAAGGGGGUCAUCCCGACUUACCAACCCGAUGCAAACUGCGAAUACCGGAGAAUGUUAUCACGGGAGACACACGGCGGGUGCUAACGUCCGUCGUGAAGAGGGAAACAACCCAGACCGCCAGCUAAGGUCCCAAAGUCAUGGUUAAGUGGGAAACGAUGUGGGAAGGCCCAGACAGCCAGGAUGUUGGCUUAGAAGCAGCCAUCAUUUAAAGAAAGCGUAAUAGCUCACUGGUCGAGUCGGCCUGCGCGGAAGAUGUAACGGGGCUAAACCAUGCACCGAAGCUGCGGCAGCGACACUGUGUGUUGUUGGGUAGGGGAGCGUUCUGUAAGCCUGCGAAGGUGUGCUGUGAGGCAUGCUGGAGGUAUCAGAAGUGCGAAUGCUGACAUAAGUAACGAUAAAGCGGGUGAAAAGCCCGCUCGCCGGAAGACCAAGGGUUCCUGUCCAACGUUAAUCGGGGCAGGGUGAGUCGACCCCUAAGGCGAGGCCGAAAGGCGUAGUCGAUGGGAAACAGGUUAAUAUUCCUGUACUUGGUGUUACUGCGAAGGGGGGACGGAGAAGGCUAUGUUGGCCGGGCGACGGUUGUCCCGGUUUAAGCGUGUAGGCUGGUUUUCCAGGCAAAUCCGGAAAAUCAAGGCUGAGGCGUGAUGACGAGGCACUACGGUGCUGAAGCAACAAAUGCCCUGCUUCCAGGAAAAGCCUCUAAGCAUCAGGUAACAUCAAAUCGUACCCCAAACCGACACAGGUGGUCAGGUAGAGAAUACCAAGGCGCUUGAGAGAACUCGGGUGAAGGAACUAGGCAAAAUGGUGCCGUAACUUCGGGAGAAGGCACGCUGAUAUGUAGGUGAAGUCCCUCGCGGAUGGAGCUGAAAUCAGUCGAAGAUACCAGCUGGCUGCAACUGUUUAUUAAAAACACAGCACUGUGCAAACACGAAAGUGGACGUAUACGGUGUGACGCCUGCCCGGUGCCGGAAGGUUAAUUGAUGGGGUCAGCGCAAGCGAAGCUCUUGAUCGAAGCCCCGGUAAACGGCGGCCGUAACUAUAACGGUCCUAAGGUAGCGAAAUUCCUUGUCGGGUAAGUUCCGACCUGCACGAAUGGCGUAAUGAUGGCCAGGCUGUCUCCACCCGAGACUCAGUGAAAUUGAACUCGCUGUGAAGAUGCAGUGUACCCGCGGCAAGACGGAAAGACCCCGUGAACCUUUACUAUAGCUUGACACUGAACAUUGAGCCUUGAUGUGUAGGAUAGGUGGGAGGCUUUGAAGUGUGGACGCCAGUCUGCAUGGAGCCGGCCUUGAAAUACCACCCUUUAAUGUUUGAUGUUCUAACGUUGACCCGUGAUCCGGGUUGCGGACAGUGUCUGGUGGGUAGUUUGACUGGGGCGGUCUCCUCCUAAAGAGUAACGGAGGAGCACGAAGGUUGGCUAAUCCUGGUCGGACAUCAGGAGGUUAGUGCAAUGGCAUAAGCCAGCUUGACUGCGAGCGUGACGGCGCGAGCAGGUGCGAAAGCAGGUCAUAGUGAUCCGGUGGUUCUGAAUGGAAGGGCCAUCGCUCAACGGAUAAAAGGUACUCCGGGGAUAACAGGCUGAUACCGCCCAAGAGUUCAUAUCGACGGCGGUGUUUGGCACCUCGAUGUCGGCUCAUCACAUCCUGGGGCUGAAGUAGGUCCCAAGGGUAUGGCUGUUCGCCAUUUAAAGUGGUACGCGAGCUGGGUUUAGAACGUCGUGAGACAGUUCGGUCCCUAUCUGCCGUGGGCGCUGGAGAACUGAGGGGGGCUGCUCCUAGUACGAGAGGACCGGAGUGGACGCAUCACUGGUGUUCGGGUUGUCAUGCCAAUGGCACUGCCCGGUAGCUAAAUGCGGAAGAGAUAAGUGCUGAAAGCAUCUAAGCACGAAACUUGCCCCGAGAUGAGUUCUCCCUGACUCCUUGAGAGUCCUGAAGGAACGUUGAAGACGACGACGUUGAUAGGCCGGGUGUGUAAGCGCAGCGAUGCGUUGAGCUAACCGGUACUAAUGAACCGUGAGGCUUAACCUU